Oncorhynchus nerka (sockeye salmon) is the source of this 1321-nucleotide RNA transcript. It is a transcript of the gene named putative nuclease HARBI1, with no coding region annotated. NCBI's taxonomy places the organism in Eukaryota, Metazoa, Chordata, Actinopteri, Salmoniformes, Salmonidae. The record is from RefSeq and is a predicted model, not a curated record. The transcript is spliced from 4 exons.
AAGAAGAUGACACAGCUCAAAAUAAAAAAUUAGGUAUAUUCUCGUAAAGUCAAGUGAGCCAUGACAUAUGAGCUCUUAUUGUGAGCACACAGGACGGUGGCAUCUUUCUAAGGUUUUUUAUUUUCCCAGCAAUCAGUACAACCAAGUCAUCGUUAUAAGGCAUCGCCCUCUUUUGCCCACCCCCAGCACCAGGUGUGGCCACUAGCCUAUAUGAAGGCCCAAAAUUGUGUGUUCCUUUCUGCUCUGACAAUGGCAUGCCCAUUCGUGCGAGAUGUGGUGGAUGAAGAAGCACUUGUGCUGAGGAGAGCCUUCAGGCGAGAAAGGGUCUUCAGGGACCGGUUGGACCCACUGGCCUUCCCUGAUGACCAUCUAUAUGAAAGAUACAGGUUUUCUGCAGAUGGCAUCAGGUAUCUAUGCAGACUACUGGGUCCCAGGAUUAAGCACCGCACUGCACGGAGCCAUGCACUGAGUGUGGAGCAAAUGGUUUGUGUGGCCUUGCGCUUUUUGCUUGUGGAGCCUUCCUGUACUCAGUGGGGGAUGCAGAACAGCUGAACAAGGCCACAAUUUGCCGCACAAUAAGGAGUGUGUGUCUGGCUAUCAAAGCAUUAGCAGAUGUCUUCAUCUCCUUCCCUGGCCACAGAAGACUCUGUGACAUCAAAGAGGAGUUCUAUAGGAUUGCAGUGGACUGCACACACAUAAGGAUAAAAGCCCCUCAGGUGCCCAUGAGGCCGAUUUUGUGAAUAGGAAAUCCUUUCACAGCAUUAAUGUUCAGAUGGUCUGCAAUGCUGACUGUGUGAUCAGCAAUGUUGUGGCAAAAUGGCCUGGCUCAGUCCAUGACUCCAGAAUCUUUCGGGCCUCUGAAAUCUAUCAGUGCCUAUCACAAGGUGAAUUCUCUGGUGUGUUGCUGGGAGACAGGGGGUAUGGCUGCCAGCCUUUUCUCCUGACACCUUUCACAGACUCCCAGGAAGCACAGCAGGCCUACAACCAUGCCCAUGCCAGGACCAGGGCCAGAGUUGAAAUGACCUUUGGCCUCCUGAAGGCACGCUUUCACUGCCUUCACAAAUUAAGGGUCAGCCCUGUUAGGGCAUGUGAUAUUACUGUGGCUUGUGCUGUCCUCCACAAUGUGGCCUGCCUGAGGAAGGAGAGGCCCCCAGAGUGCCACCAGCCAUGGACUGGGACAAUCCGGCAAUCUUCCUGAUGACGACAGUGGUCGGCUGCUGAGGGACCAAUAUGUGUUGAAUUAUUUUAGUUAGUAUGUGUGCUUUCAAUUUUGGUUAAAUAUGUCCUGCGGUGGCAGAGGAAUUUGGUUUUUUUUUUGGGU